Molecule: ribosomal RNA, 500 nt
Filed under: uncultured bacterium
Lineage: Bacteria
Description: partial 16S ribosomal RNA
Rfam family: Bacterial small subunit ribosomal RNA
Source: RNAcentral
AUUGAACGCUGGCGGCAUGCCUUACACAUGCAAGUCGAACGGCAGCACGGGAGCAAUCCUGGUGGCGAGUGGCGAACGGGUGAGUAAUAUAUCGGAACGUGCCCAGUCGUGGGGGAUAACGUAGCGAAAGCUACGCUAAUACCGCAUACGCUCUAUGGAUGAAAGCGGGGGAUCGCAAGACCUCGCGCGAUUGGAGCGGCCGAUAUCAGAUUAGGCAGUUGGUGGGGUAAAGGCUCACCAAGCCGACGAUCUGUAGCUGGUCUGAGAGGACGACCAGCCACACUGGGGCUGAGACACGGCCCAGACUCCUACGGGAGGCAGCAGUGGGGAAUUUUGGACAAUGGGCGCAAGCCUGAUCCAGCAAUGCCGCGUGCAGGAUGAAGGCCUUCGGGUUGUAAACUGCUUUUGUACGGAGCGAAAAGGCUCUCUCUAAUACAGGGGGCUCAUGACGGUACCGUAAGAAUAAGCACCGGCUAACUACGUGCCAGCAGCCGCAGUAA